Cygnus atratus (black swan) is the source of this 80-nucleotide small nucleolar RNA. RefSeq annotates it as small nucleolar RNA SNORD66. The record is from RefSeq and is a predicted model, not a curated record. NCBI's taxonomy places the organism in Eukaryota, Metazoa, Chordata, Aves, Anseriformes, Anatidae. The transcript has a single exon.
UUCUACUGAUGACUUUCUAAAAUUGCCAUGUGGCUAACGGCCACAGGACACACAUAAUGAAGCCUGAGUAGCUGAGAGAU